GCCCCUAGCAAUACACAAGUAUUAAGGGUAAUGCCUGCCCAGUGACACUGUUAAACGGCCGCGGUAUCCUAACCGUGCAAAGGUAGCGUAAUCACUUGUCUUUUAAAUAAAGACUGGAAUGAAUGGCCAAACGAGGUUCAACCUGUCUCUUACAAACAAUCAGUGAAAUUGAUCCCCCCGUGCAAAAGCGGGAAUAACACUAUAAGACGAGAAGACCCUGUGGAACUUCAAAUACAAGUCAAUUAUCGUCAACACCCGCCCACGGACUCACACUCAACUAACCUCUGACUAAUAUUUUCGGUUGGGGCGACCUCGGAGCAAAACAAAACCUCCGAACAAAAGAACUAUCUUAAACCUAGGCCUACAGCCCAAAGUGCCUCCGGUAAAAUGAUCCAAUAUAUUUGAUCAACGAACCAAGCUACCCCAGGGAUAACAGCGCAAUCCCAUCCUAGAGUCCCCAUCGACGAUGGGGUUUACGACCUCGAUGUUGGAUCAGGGCAUCCUGAUGGUGCAACCGCUAUCAAGGGUUCGUUUGUUCAACGAUUAACAGCCCUACGUGA
This 560-nucleotide ribosomal RNA is filed under the name Siebenrockiella crassicollis. RNAcentral's name for it is "partial 16S ribosomal RNA". It matches the Rfam family "Bacterial large subunit ribosomal RNA", at positions 1818 to 2603 of the family's 2925-position model. The record is from RNAcentral. Lineage: Eukaryota; Metazoa; Chordata; Testudines; Geoemydidae.